RNAcentral lists this ribosomal RNA (576 nucleotides) under Citrobacter freundii. Its description in RNAcentral is "bacterial SSU rRNA". It matches the Rfam family "Bacterial small subunit ribosomal RNA", at positions 56 to 622 of the family's 1533-position model. Lineage: Bacteria; Pseudomonadati; Pseudomonadota; Gammaproteobacteria; Enterobacterales; Enterobacteriaceae. The record is from RNAcentral.
UGCAGUCGAACGGUAGCACAGAGGAGCUUGCUCCUUGGGUGACGAGUGGCGGACGGGUGAGUAAUGUCUGGGAAACUGCCCGAUGGAGGGGGAUAACUACUGGAAACGGUAGCUAAUACCGCAUAACGUCGCAAGACCAAAGAGGGGGACCUUCGGGCCUCUUGCCAUCGGAUGUGCCCAGAUGGGAUUAGCUAGUAGGUGGGGUAACGGCUCACCUAGGCGACGAUCCCUAGCUGGUCUGAGAGGAUGACCAGCCACACUGGAACUGAGACACGGUCCAGACUCCUACGGGAGGCAGCAGUGGGGAAUAUUGCACAAUGGGCGCAAGCCUGAUGCAGCCAUGCCGCGUGUAUGAAGAAGGCCUUCGGGUUGUAAAGUACUUUCAGCGAGGAGGAAGGCGUUGUGGUUAAUAACCGCAACGAUUGACGUUACUCGCAGAAGAAGCACCGGCUAACUCCGUGCCAGCAGCCGCGGUAAUACGGAGGGUGCAAGCGUUAAUCGGAAUUACUGGGCGUAAAGCGCACGCAGGCGGUCUGUCAAGUCGGAUGUGAAAUCCCCGGGCUCAACCUGGGAACU